UGGAAAAAGACUCUUCAUUCCUGGAAAGCAAGAAAGAGAGUGUCAAGCUUCAAAUAAUAAAAACGUCCUCCAUUGCCUCCACCUGUGAUGAGAUGACCGAUCAAACACCAUCUAUGUGCAAAGGGGGCAGCAGCAGCCAACUGACUGAGUUAUUCCUGGCAGUGGAGAAAGUCUCAGAUGAACUUGGAGAGAUGAAAAAAGCUUUUCUUGAGAAAGAGUCUGAAGAUAAGAAGGAUGGCUACUGGACCGGAGUCGCCAAGAA
This is a long non-coding RNA of Xiphophorus couchianus (Monterrey platyfish), 262 nucleotides long. RefSeq lists it as uncharacterized. The record is from RefSeq and is a predicted model, not a curated record. The transcript is spliced from 3 exons. NCBI's taxonomy places the organism in Eukaryota, Metazoa, Chordata, Actinopteri, Cyprinodontiformes, Poeciliidae.